This 435-nucleotide ribosomal RNA is filed under the name uncultured bacterium. Its description in RNAcentral is "bacterial SSU rRNA". It matches the Rfam family "Bacterial small subunit ribosomal RNA", at positions 958 to 1393 of the family's 1533-position model. The record is from RNAcentral.
AACGCGAAGAACCUUACCUACUCUUGACAUCCUGCGAACUUGGUAGAGAUACCUUGGUGCCUUCGGGAACGCAGAGACAGGUGCUGCAUGGCUGUCGUCAGCUCGUGUUGUGAAAUGUUGGGUUAAGUCCCGUAACGAGCGCAACCCUUGUCCUUAGUUGCCAUCAUUUAGUUGGGGACUCUAAGGAGACUGCCGGUGACAAACCGGAGGAAGGCGGGGACGACGUCAAGUCAUCAUGGCCCUUACGAGUAGGGCUACACACGUGCUACAAUGGCAAGUACAGAGGGCCGCGAAGCCGCGAGGUGGAGCUAAUCUCACAAAGCUUGUCGUAGUCCGGAUUGGAGUCUGCAACUCGACUCCAUGAAGUCGGAAUCGCUAGUAAUCGCAAAUCAGAAUGUUGCGGUGAAUACGUUCCCCGGGUCUUGUACACACCGA